This 366-nucleotide ribosomal RNA is filed under the name Triticum aestivum (bread wheat). Its description in RNAcentral is "partial small subunit ribosomal RNA". The record is from RNAcentral. Lineage: Eukaryota; Viridiplantae; Streptophyta; Magnoliopsida; Poales; Poaceae.
AUGCCAAUGGGCGCUUCAGUUCAAUCUCGUCGGCGCGAACCAGCUACCGAGCGGGGGCAGCGGAGAUGGACAUCGACCAAGGCACGACAGGAGGUGGCCGGGACCAGAGGAGGCACGACAGGAGACGGGUCGGGAGCAGAUGGGAGGCGUUGGCCGGGAGCAGCGAAGGUGUCGGCAACCGGCAACCAGGAUUGGGGGCGUUCGGGUCCUUACGGCGCCAGCGUCCGCCAUGCAUCAGGCAGCCAUGCUUGCCGUCCUAAGAUGGUCUUGAACGGCCCGCCGCACGCACAGCCUCUAACCACCCCCAUUCCAGCGCGUCCGCUCUGGUCGCCAUCCGGUCGUUGUGGUCUUAUACCUGUAAAAUAG